Molecule: long non-coding RNA, 519 nt
Filed under: Cyanistes caeruleus (blue tit)
Lineage: Eukaryota; Metazoa; Chordata; Aves; Passeriformes; Paridae
Description: lncRNA (ENSCCEG00000001041.1)
Source: RNAcentral
GCUCCAAAAGAAGUUCUACAUGUUAAAGACUUGGAGGAGAAGAUUCAAAGCCAGAAGAAAUGUUUCAGAAAUAGCUGGGGGUAGUGUGCAAGAAUAAGGAGCCUUCUGCAGCCAGGAGAAAUCCCUGCAGCAGGGUUGAACAGCAAUAGCAGACUAUGGAGACUGCAAUGUUAUUUCUGUCUCUCCACCAAGCUGGUUAGACACCUAACAAAGCAAUUCCAGUGGUGGAACCAAGGAUCUACUCAAGCUCCUGGUAGAAAUGGAGCACCUCCUGCCCCUGGAUGCAGCAUUGAAACCACGGGCACACCAUGCUGCCUUCCUGACCACUCCUCCCCUCUCGCUGCAGCAGCAAGUUUUGCUCACUGAUCACCCUAUAUGCAAGCUUUUAGGAAGAAUUUUGUUCUUCUAGCAUGCAAUUGAAGAAGAAUCAAAAAACCUUUACAAAGACACUGCAAUGACUUUUUGAAGGUAAGUUUUGAUGAGCCUCUCAGUUUGUCAUUUCUUUUCUACAUACUUAGG